UCUUACUACCGGUCGUGCUCUAGAACGUCAUUAGGCAACCAAUGUACGGAGGACGCGACUCGUCUAAUGUGUUUUGGAUCGUGCACGGGAGAUUUUUGCAAUGCAAAUGAUACAGGGCUUCAACAUGAAAAAUUCUUCGAAAACACAUUUCAAUGCUACCAGUGUUCAUAUGAUAAACUCUCAAACACAGGCAAGGAUUUGAAUAACCCAAAAUGUAUGACUCAACCAGGAGAACUUGACAGCAGAACAACACAUUACCCUUGCAAUGACACGGGGUUCUGUACAUUCACGGAAAUAUACAGUUUAGAGUCAAAAGAAGUCACUUCUUACUACCGGUCAUGCUCUAGAACGUCAUUAGGCAACCAAUGUACGGAGGAGGCGACACGUCUAAUGUGUUUUGGAUCGUGCAAGGGAGAUUUUUGCAAUGCAAAUGAUACAGGACUUCAACAUGAGAAAUUCUUCAGAAACAGUUCGUAUGACUUUUGAAUUAUAGCAGUUUUAAGACAAUGACACAGGUUUAUUACAAGAAGGCGUCAGUCGAGCAUUUACUUUCGGCUAAAGUGUUUAUGACAUAACAGUGUCGUUCUAAAAUGUAUAAGCAACUAUACUAUUGGCAAACAUCACAAAUCUAGUUUUAAAUCGAUAAGUUCAAUGCCGCAAUCACGAAUGCAGUGAUUCAGAAGCUGUUUUUAUUUAUAUUCGACUGCGUCCUUAAUUGAAUAUCUCGACAAAAUAUGAGUGUGACUCAAACAGUGGGACAGUGCAUAUAUAGGGAUCGGUCUGUAAUGGAUCCCCUAGUUAGAGUCACAUAGUGGGGCUUGGUUGGUAUUACUCAGCUACAAGUGUUCAAAUAGUAAACACAUUAUACUCUGUUUUCUUUAUUUCAGCAUUUAUUGCUACAUGUGUUCGUAUAAUGAACACUGAAGCACGGGUUUUCUUUAUUUUCAUUUUCAUUGCUACAUUUGUUCAAACCGUAAACACCCAAACAAGCCCGCAUGUUUGUUUGUUGUUGUUGUUGUUUUUUUUUGUUUUGUUUUGUUUUGUUUUGUUUUGUUUUUGUAUGUGCUCAUACAAAACACCUUUUUUCGUCUUGUCAACACGUGUCUAUAAGGAAAAGAACAUUUAUUAAUCUCCAUUUUAAUGUAAUUUAUAAAUUUAUAAAACAAUUGUAUUUUAUUUCACCAUUUCUGUACUUAGUAUUUAAAAAAAAACACCAGAUAACUGCAUUUAAUUUUAAGUGCUUGUGCUACAAAACAAGGUCAAGAAAAAUCUUUUAAAUAUACUUUACUAUAACCUAACAAACAAUGCCAUUGUUGACUUUUUCAGCAUUUCUCUACUACACAUGUUUUUAUAACAAACUCUCAAACACGAAGGCGCCUUGGAAUAAUAGGAAAUGUAUGAAUAAUCCUGGCGAAAUGGAAAGAACAACUCACUACAUGUGCGAUAACACGGAUUUCUGCAUAUUUCAGGAAGUAUACAGUUUGGUGUCAAAAGAAGUUACUUCUUACUUACGGUCAUGUUCUAGAACGCCACUAGCCAACACGUGCACGAAAGAUGCGACACGUGUAAUGUGCACAGGAUCGUGCAAGGGAGAUUUUUGCAAUGCAAAUGAUACUGGGCUUCAACAUGAGAAAUUCUUUGGAAGCCGUUCGUCCACUAAUUGUGUGCUGACCUGUUCUGUAUUUAUUCACAUGCUUAUAUGUCUGUUUGCAUUUGCCUUAAAUUCAUAAAGUAUAGAAUAUUAUAUUACUCUUAUAAAAUAUGUAAUAUUCUUUAGUAGAACAGUUAGACAGGACUGGUCCAAAUUUUUACUUGGUGGGUUCCAAAUGAUAACAAUCGGACAUAACUGAUCGCAACUUUGACAUCGCUACUAAAACAGUAGCAGUGUAUCAUGUAACUUACUGACAUCCAGCAAAACUUGAUGGCUUUCGCGGACAGGGGCACAUUUGACUAAUACCUAAAAAUAACCUGUGACUGUAUUCCACAUGUAGUACAAAGAGGAAAGACUGCUUUGUUUCUUAUUAUUCUAUUGUAUGAGCAAUAACACAAUACAAAGGUGGCAUAAAACUGGCAGCAGAGAAACCGCAAAAUGUUUUGCCGAUAUCAUGGGAAGAAACAACUGACUGCUGCCAACGUACUAGCAUAACUGGCUAGUCAGCGGCCUACGUUACCGUAGUACCAGAUCCCAGAGCUAAACCAACUUUCUGCUGUGGACAGUGCAUUGGGACAAUCUGUACUACCCGUCCCCCUAGGAGAAGCUACCUAGCUUGAAACAGCUAUAGGCCUCCCUUCUAUAUAAAGAAGAGGAGGGUGAAUCAUCGUUAAACUCGGAUUGUACCCUAGCAUGCCCACUACUUUAACACUGCAGCUUGAAUAGAUGUCAAGGCAGGGGAAGGGCCAGAUUGAGAACGGCCCAGUUCACGUUUUCUCUCUCGGGCUGCCACAGAAAACAUCCUUGAGGAUUUUUUCCUCCAAAAACGCUGCGUUGUUUGUA
Molecule: long non-coding RNA, 2494 nt
Organism: Mercenaria mercenaria
Lineage: Eukaryota; Metazoa; Mollusca; Bivalvia; Venerida; Veneridae
Exons: 4
Source: RefSeq, a predicted model, not a curated record